Molecule: ribosomal RNA, 776 nt
Filed under: uncultured Neocallimastigales
Lineage: Eukaryota; Fungi; Neocallimastigomycota; Neocallimastigomycetes; Neocallimastigales
Description: partial large subunit ribosomal RNA
Rfam family: Eukaryotic large subunit ribosomal RNA
Source: RNAcentral
GUACACGCUGUGACUAGCAUAUCAAUAAGCGGAGGAAAAGAAACUAACAAGGAUUCCCCUAGUAACGGCGAGUGAAGCGGGAAGAGCUCAAAUUUGAAAUCUUAAAGGGUUUCCCUUUACGAAUUGUAGUUUAAAGAAGUGUUUUCUGUUGAGGUUUUGGUAAAAGUUCUUUGGAAUAGGACAUCAUAGAGGGUGAGAAUCCCGUAUUUGACCUUUACUUUCAACUUUGUGAUACACUUUCAAAGGAGUCGGAUUGUUUGGGAAUGCAGUCCAAAAUGGGUGGCUAAAUUUCAUCUAAAGCUAAAUAUUGGCGAGAGACCGAUAGCGAACAAGUACCGUGAGGGAAAGAUGAAAAGAACUUUGAAAAGAGAGUUAAACAGUACGUGAAAUUGUCAAAAGGGAAGCGUUUGACACCAGUGUUGUUUUCCUGAAAAUCAAUUAAAGAACUGUUUAUGCUAAGUUGUUUAGACUUUAUCAGCUAACUGUUUAGUUUUGAGCUUUUCUUUAAUGCACUUUUCAGUUAACAAGUCAACAUCAAUUUCUUUUGCUGUAAAAAAGCUUGAGGAAGGUGGCUUGAGAUUCGUCUUAAGUGUUUAUAGCCUCUUGCCUAUGCAGUCGGAGAGAUUGAGGUCUGCAGCGUAGAUCCUUCGGGGCUAAAUGCAUUUGUGCUAAGUUAUAGCAUUUUAUAGACAACUUGUUGACUAUGAUUUGUCUUGUAGCUUACUCGCUUAUGUUAUUUUACCUACGCUUAGGAUGUUGAAGAUGUAGCACAUCAU